This 642-nucleotide ribosomal RNA is filed under the name Triticum aestivum (bread wheat). Its description in RNAcentral is "partial small subunit ribosomal RNA". The record is from RNAcentral. Lineage: Eukaryota; Viridiplantae; Streptophyta; Magnoliopsida; Poales; Poaceae.
AUGGCCACUUUGGCCUUGCUCACUGUUUUGCUCGGUCGCAUCAGCCGCAGUCGCCGCCAUGUUUUGUUCCUUGCGGGUAGAAGAUCCAUGCACUUCGAUCGCAGCAUGCCUUUGCUGGGUUGUCUCCGAAAGUCCCCUUUACGAAUCACUGCCAAGGCCAAGACCAUCUCCGGGCACGAAGCCUCAAGUCCGAGGACUAUCGCAUUCGUGGAUCCCUUUCGCCAAGUACCACGACCGGUGAAGACCGAGACAGAGACCUCCUUGAGCAGGAGCGUUUUUGGGAUCGUCAAGACCAUCUCAAGUUCGACUAUGUUUUGCCGCCCCGACCGAGACCGACAAGUACCACUACGACCAUCCCUCUCCAAGACCGACCCUGAAAGGCUCGGAUUCGUCACGUGUGCAACGGCCCAUGUACAACUACGCGGAAUCGCCAAGUACCACUUCAUGUCGGCAAGACCCGCAAGUCGGACCCCGAACGAUCGACGACUCGUGGACCAUGUUCAACUUCAGGCACCGAACACCCGGGGUGGAAGGCUUGGCCUUAUGCCCGGUGUUUUGUUCCACUCUUGCCGCCCUAGCCAGUGCUUCUCUAAGUGUUGGUCCGAACCUAGUAGACUGCGGGGCCACCUCGGGGAAACUUGA